CGUUUAAUGCAAUAAAUACCAUAUGUAUAUUCUUUAAAGCUUCACGUUCGUAAAACGGAUUAUAGGUUUUCGAUUCCGCUCACCGACACCAGAUCGUUUUUCAAAUAUGUAUGGGUAAACGCCCUGUACAUAUAUAUAUAUUGAGCGUUAUUCAUCGCGUACAAAAUAUUUCAACGAACACUAUUGAAAGGGCGUUACGGGAAGCUUUCAAAAUCCCGACA
Cinara cedri is the source of this 221-nucleotide non-coding RNA. The record is from the annotation of a GenBank genome assembly. NCBI's taxonomy places the organism in Eukaryota, Metazoa, Arthropoda, Insecta, Hemiptera, Aphididae.